CACGGGGGCAACCCUGGUGGCGAGUGGCGAACGGGUGAGUAAUGCAUCGGAACGUGCCCAGUUGUGGGGGAUAGCCCGGCGAAAGCCGGAUUAAUACCGCAUACGACCUGAGGGUGAAAGCGGGGGACCGAAAGGCCUCGCGCAAUUGGAGCGGCCGAUAUCUGAUUAGCUAGUUGGUGGGGUAAGAGCCCACCAAGGCGACGAUCAGUAGCUGGUCUGAGAGGACGACCAGCCACACUGGGACUGAGACACGGCCCAGACUCCUACGGGAGGCAGCAGUGGGGAAUUUUGGACAAUGGGGGCAACCCUGAUCCAGCAAUGCCGCGUGUGUGAAGAAGGCCUUCGGG
RNAcentral lists this ribosomal RNA (347 nucleotides) under uncultured bacterium. Its description in RNAcentral is "bacterial SSU rRNA". It matches the Rfam family "Bacterial small subunit ribosomal RNA", at positions 72 to 422 of the family's 1533-position model. The record is from RNAcentral.